RNAcentral lists this long non-coding RNA (255 nucleotides) under Phascolarctos cinereus (koala). RNAcentral's name for it is "lncRNA (ENSPCIG00000011066.2)". The record is from RNAcentral. Lineage: Eukaryota; Metazoa; Chordata; Mammalia; Diprotodontia; Phascolarctidae.
AGGUCACGUAAGUAGCAAAUGGCAGAGAUGGGAAUGAAACUCAGAUCCUCUGACUCCAAAUUCUAAACCCUUUCUAUGUUAUGCUAUAUUUCUAGAGUUAAACCAGGCCUGGGCAAACAUUCAAGUUGUGGGAGCUGGGAGGGAAGGCUGUGAGCAGAGGAAGCACCCAAAGUGAAGAACUGACAGGUGGAGCACUUUCCAGACAUUCUGGUUCAACAGUCAGAAGUGAGAACAUCUAUUUAUCUCUGAAGCAGU